AUGCACAUCAUUGCACUUGUACGGUCUGAUUUUCUCUUACUAACUAAAAUUGUUUACUUGUUGUUUUAUUAUAGUGUACUAAAAUUGUUUACUUGUUGUUUUAUUAUAGUGUACUGGGAUGACACAUUGAGAAUAACUGGCCUUAUAAUCAUGUCGGCUGGAAACCUGGAAUCGUCAACUAAAGAUUAA
This is a non-coding RNA of Vicia faba (fava bean), 189 nucleotides long. The record is from the annotation of a GenBank genome assembly. NCBI's taxonomy places the organism in Eukaryota, Viridiplantae, Streptophyta, Magnoliopsida, Fabales, Fabaceae.